Molecule: ribosomal RNA, 498 nt
Filed under: uncultured bacterium
Lineage: Bacteria
Description: partial 16S ribosomal RNA
Rfam family: Bacterial small subunit ribosomal RNA
Source: RNAcentral
AUUGAACGCUGGCGGCAUGCUUUACACAUGCAAGUCGAACGGCAGCGCGGGGCAACCUGGCGGCGAGUGGCGAACGGGUGAGUAAUACAUCAGAACGUACCCAGAAGUGGGGGAUAACGUAGCGAAAGUUACGCUAAUACCGCAUACGUUCUACGGAAGAAAGUGGGGGACCGCAAGGCCUCAUGCUUUUGGAGCGGCCGAUGUCUGAUUAGCUAGUUGGUGAGGUAAAGGCUCACAAAGGGGACGAUCAGUAGCUGGUCUGAGAGGACGACCAGCCACAAUGGGACGGAGACACGGCCCAGAAUCCUACGUGAGGCAGCAGUGGGGAAUUUUGGACAAUGGGCGCAAGCCUGAUCCAGCAAUGCCGCGUGAGUGAAGAAGGCCUUCGGGUUGUAAAGCUCUUUUGUCAGGGAAGAAACGGCUGGGGAUAAUACCUCUGGCUAAUGACGGUACCUGAAGAAUAAGCACCGGCUAACUACGUGCCAGCAGCCGCCGUAA